CUUCCAUUUGCUGCGGACAGAUGUAAUGGAUAUGGUUAUCUAUACCUCCAGCUGUUAUGAUCAUUCCUUCUCCAGCUAUCACUUCAGUUGUUGCACCUACAAUCAUAUCAAGGUCAACUCCCUCCAUGAUAUGAGGAUUGCCACCUUUUCCAAUAGCCUUAAUAUAUCCGUUUUUUAUUCCGAUAUCAGCUUUAUAAAUUCCUGUAUAGUCAAUUAUCAGAGCAUUGGUAAUAAUCAAAUCAAGUACCUCAGAAGAAUUAUAACCAGAAGCCUGUCCCAUACCAUCCCGAAG
This 292-nucleotide small RNA is filed under the name Sporocytophaga myxococcoides. RNAcentral's name for it is "5' ureB small RNA". It matches the Rfam family "5' ureB small RNA". The record is from Rfam by way of RNAcentral. Lineage: Bacteria; Pseudomonadati; Bacteroidota; Cytophagia; Cytophagales; Cytophagaceae.